UUGAAGAGUUUGAUCAUGGCUCAGAUUGAACGCUGGCGGCAGGCCUAACACAUGCAAGUCGAGCGGUAGCACAGAGAGCUUGCUCGGGUGACGAGCGGCGGACGGGUGAGUAAUGUCUGGGAAACUGCCUGAUGGAGGGGAUAACUACUGGAAACGGUAGCUAAUACCGCAUAAUGUCGCAAGACCAAAGUGGGGACCUUCGGGCCUCAUGCCAUCAGAUGUGCCCAGAUGGGAUUAGCUAGUAGGUGGGGUAACGGCUCACCUAGGCGACGAUCCUAGCUGGUCUGAGAGGAUGACCAGCCACACUGGAACUGAGACACGGUCCAGACUCCUACGGGAGGCAGCAGUGGGGAAUAUUGCACAAUGGGCGCAAGCCUGAUGCAGCCAUGCCGCGUGUGAAGAAGGCCUUCGGGUUGUAAAGCACUUUCAGCGGGGAGGAAGGCGGUGAGGUUAAUAACCUCAUCGAUUGACGUUACCCGCAGAAGAAGCACCGGCUAACUCCGUGCCAGCAGCCGCGGUAAUACGGAGGGUGCAAGCGUUAAUCGGAAUUACUGGGCGUAAGCGCACGCAGGCGGUCUGUCAAGUCGGAUGUGAAAUCCCCGGGCUCAACCUGGGAACUGCAUUCGAAACUGGCAGGCUAGAGUCUUGUAGAGGGGGGUAGAAUUCCAGGUGUAGCGGUGAAAUGCGUAGAGAUCUGGAGGAAUACCGGUGGCGAAGGCGGCCCCCUGGACAAAGACUGACGCUCAGGUGCGAAAGCGUGGGGAGCAAACAGGAUUAGAUACCCUGGUAGUCCACGCCGUAAACGAUGUCGAUUUGGAGGUUGUGCCCUUGAGGCGUGGCUUCCGGAGCUAACGCGUUAAAUCGACCGCCUGGGGAGUACGGCCGCAAGGUUAAAACUCAAAUGAAUUGACGGGGGCCCGCACAAGCGGUGGAGCAUGUGGUUUAAUUCGAUGCAACGCGAAGAACCUUACCUGGUCUUGACAUCCACAGAACUUUCCAGAGAUGGAUUGGUGCCUUCGGGAACUGUGAGACAGGUGCUGCAUGGCUGUCGUCAGCUCGUGUUGUGAAAUGUUGGGUUAAGUCCCGCAACGAGCGCAACCCUUAUCCUUUGUUGCCAGCGGUCCGGCCGGGAACUCAAAGGAGACUGCCAGUGAUAAACUGGAGGAAGGUGGGGAUGACGUCAAGUCAUCAUGGCCCUUACGACCGGGCUACACGUGCUACAAUGGCAUAUACAAAGAGAAGCGACCUCGCGAGAGCAAGCGGACCUCAUAAAGUAUGUCGUAGUCCGGAUUGGAGUCUGCAACUCGACUCCAUGAAGUCGGAAUCGCUAGUAAUCGUAGAUCAGAAUGCUACGGUGAAUACGUUCCCGGGCCUUGUACACACCGCCCGUCACACCAUGGGAGUGGGUUGCAAAAGAAGUAGGUAGCUUAACCUUCGGGAGGGCGCUUACCACUUUGUGAUUCAUGACUGGGGUGAAGUCGUAACAAGGUAACCGUAGGGGAACCUGCGGUUGGAUCACCUCCUU
This 1525-nucleotide ribosomal RNA is filed under the name Klebsiella pneumoniae. Its description in RNAcentral is "bacterial SSU rRNA". It matches the Rfam family "Bacterial small subunit ribosomal RNA". The record is from RNAcentral. Lineage: Bacteria; Pseudomonadati; Pseudomonadota; Gammaproteobacteria; Enterobacterales; Enterobacteriaceae.